RNAcentral lists this long non-coding RNA (294 nucleotides) under Fragaria vesca (wild strawberry). RNAcentral describes it as "long non-coding RNA (FVES_LNC002301)". Lineage: Eukaryota; Viridiplantae; Streptophyta; Magnoliopsida; Rosales; Rosaceae. The record is from RNAcentral.
UCCAGCGCGUGAUGGUCGAACUCGACACCGACCGCGACGGCUUCAUCUGCCUCGACGAGUUCAACGCCUUCUGGGUGGCCGGCUCCCCUGACGGCUCCUCUGCCGAGCUCAAGGGAGCCUUCGAUCUCUACGACCAGGACCGCAACGGCCUCAUCUCCGCCGAAGAGCUCCACCUCGUCCUCAACCGCCUCCAGAUGAAGUGCUCCGUCGAGGACUGCAACCGCAUGAUCCAGACCGUUGACGCCGACGGCGACGGCAAUGUGAAUUUCGAGGAGUUCAAGAAGAUGAUGAGCA